This 498-nucleotide ribosomal RNA is filed under the name uncultured bacterium. Its description in RNAcentral is "partial 16S ribosomal RNA". It matches the Rfam family "Bacterial small subunit ribosomal RNA", at positions 28 to 523 of the family's 1533-position model. The record is from RNAcentral.
GAUGAACGCUAGCGGCAGGCCUAAUACAUGCAAGUCGAACGAUAGAAGAGGGCUUGCUCUCUUCGAAAGUGGCGCACGGGUGCGUAACGCGUAUGCAACCUACCUUAAUCAGGGGGAUAGCCCGAAGAAAUUCGGAUUAACACCGCAUAAAAUCACAGUACAGCAUUGUACAAUGAUCAAAUAUUUAUAGGAUUAAGAUGGGCAUGCGUGACAUUAGCUAGUUGGCGGGGUAACGGCCCACCAAGGCGACGAUGUCUAGGGGACCUGAGAGGAUGACCCCCCACACUGGGACUGAGACACGGACCAGGCUCCUACGGGAGGCAGCAGUAAGGAAUAUUGGUCAAUGGAGGCAACUCUGGACCAGCCAUGCCGCGUGCAGGAAGACAGCCCUCUGGGUCGUAAACUGCUUUUAUUCGGGAAUAAACCUACUUACGUGUAAGUAGCUGAAUGUACCGAAGGAAUAAGGAUCGGCUAACUCCGUGCCAGCAGCCGCGGUAA